Non-coding RNA from Corchorus capsularis, 75 nucleotides. Lineage: Eukaryota; Viridiplantae; Streptophyta; Magnoliopsida; Malvales; Malvaceae. The record is from the annotation of a GenBank genome assembly.
GCGUUUGUAGUCCAACGGUUAGGAUAAUUAAUGGCCUUCUAAGCAAUAGACUCCGGUUCGACUCCCGAAAACGCA